AUCGAAACCUUGACAUCCCCCCCCGGGCAUACCUGGGGAAUUUGCUUGUUUAGUAUUUUAAGAAGGCGGGAAUUUGACCUUUUUUUCUAGUGGAAGGUGGGGAAUUUGAAGGGGGUCGGGAAUUUGAAUUUUUCUUUUAAACACGUAUGCAGAAUCCAAAAUGGCGUCAAUAAUUAAUGGAUGAGUUCAAGGUCUUCAAGUGCAAAGGAAUUAACUUUGUCCUUGGUUGGCUACAAGAAAACGGCUUUGAACGAUUGAAGAGAGUUUUUGAAGGAAAGAAAAACUUUGAAAUUCCAAAAUUGCGAAAUGCUGUAGCUUCCAAUUCGUACAUGAG
Molecule: non-coding RNA, 334 nt
Organism: Paramuricea clavata
Lineage: Eukaryota; Metazoa; Cnidaria; Anthozoa; Malacalcyonacea; Plexauridae
Source: the annotation of a GenBank genome assembly